AGAACGAACGCUGGCGGCAGGCCUCAAACAUGCAAGUCUAGGGGGUGUAGCAAUACAUCACCGGCGGACGGGUGCGUAACACGUGGGAAUAUACCUUUUGGUUCGGAACAACGCAGGGAAACUUGCGCUAAUACCGAAUGUGCCCUUACGGGGAAAGAUUUAUCGCCAAAGGAUUAGCCCGCGUAGGAUUAGCUAGUUGGUGAGGUAAUGGCUCACCAAGGCUCCGAUCCUUAGCUGUUCUGAGAGGAAGAUCAGCCACACUGGGACUGAGACACGGCCCAGACUCCUACGGGAGGCAGCAGUUGGGAAUCUUGGACAAUGGGGGAAACCCUGAUCCAGCCAUGCCGCGUGAGUGAUGAAGGCCUUCGGGUUGUAAAGCUCUUUUGUGCGGGAAGAUAAUGACGGUACCGCAAGAAUAACGCCCCGGCUAACUUCGUGCCAGCAGCCGC
Molecule: ribosomal RNA, 449 nt
Filed under: uncultured bacterium
Lineage: Bacteria
Description: SSU rRNA
Rfam family: Bacterial small subunit ribosomal RNA
Source: RNAcentral